UACAGAGGGGGCAAGCGUUGUUCGGAAUUACUGGGCGUAAAGGGCGCGUAGGCGGCCCGCUAAGUCGAACGUGAAAUCCCCAGGCUCAACCUGGGAACUGCGUCCGAUACUGGCAGGCUUGAAUCCGGGAGAGGGAUGUGGAAUUCCAGGUGUAGCGGUGAAAUGCGUAGAUAUCUGGAGGAACACCGGUGGCGAAGGCGGCAUCCUGGACCGGUAUUGACGCUGAGGCGCGAAAGCGUGGGAGCAAACAGG
Molecule: ribosomal RNA, 252 nt
Filed under: uncultured bacterium
Lineage: Bacteria
Description: partial 16S ribosomal RNA
Rfam family: Bacterial small subunit ribosomal RNA
Source: RNAcentral